UCCCAGAAUCAACAGUUCAAUAAAGUAAAAAUAUCAAACCCGACCUCUGAGAGAGUGGCCAGAUUUGCUUUCAUGAGAUGAGUCUGACAUGAGUGGAAAUCUCUCAGGAAGGAGAGAGUCAGUGCCUUUCCGUCUGGCCAUGGUGCUUGGUUGGGUUUGUUUCACAAUGUGGUUACCAUUACACAAGGAUUUGGCCAAAUUAGGCUGAAAGUACUCAGCUGAAUUCCCACUGAGUGAAGGGCACAAAGGACAAACCUAGAAUAUUAAAUAUUAAUUUAAGUCAAAUAACAAAGUCUUAAGAAAAUGUUGAAGCUUUGUAUAAGAGGCCUAGAAACAUAUGUACCUCCACACACUGAACCAGCUCUACUCUUGUGUAUUCCAAGGAGAAUGCCUUGGCGGGUAAAGCAUGUAAGAAUAGGGUCAGUGAUGUACAUGACUGACUUUUCUCCCACCUAAGAAUUUGAGAAAACAAUCACCACAGUCAUUACAAACCAAGGACUCUUAGCCAUAACAGUUUUUAUCAAAAAACCCAAAUAUGCGUAAUGUUUGAGUUCUGGGCAUGAGGAGCUGAUAGGAGAUUUCUUUGAGCAGAUAAUGACCAUAAAUUUUGUUGUGAAGUUAAUGUGAUCUUCAAAAAGAACAUAUUCUACUUUCUUACAUUUUUUUUUAAAUUGUGUUUGUGUGCAUGUGUGUAAAACUUACCACCAUGGAUUUAUUUGAGAAGAUCUUCCUUGAGGACCUACUAUGUGCUGCCCCUCUCAGUCCAGACUGCCAUCGCUUCCCAUGCAGACAAGCCUUUUCACCGGCAGGUCUGAAGUGGGAAGGGAGAAUCUACCAGGUCCAGAAGCUGUCCAGGUGAGACCACGGAAACUCUGGGACCACAGGACUGCAAGCCUGCUUCCCUGGGUGGGAGCGGAAUCUAGACACAGGCGGGAUUGAGGCUGCAUUUGUGUCUUCACAUAAACCCGCCUGCAAGGCCCAGUCAGCGCUGCCACUAAGCAGGAAGCCUCCAGCUCCCUUUCUUGGUCUGCAUUGGACACGCUAGAACUAGAAACUUCUGAAAGCCCAUGAAAGGUAA
Long non-coding RNA from Lynx canadensis (Canada lynx), 1078 nucleotides. RefSeq lists it as uncharacterized. NCBI's taxonomy places the organism in Eukaryota, Metazoa, Chordata, Mammalia, Carnivora, Felidae. The record is from RefSeq and is a predicted model, not a curated record. The transcript has 3 exons.